GGGCCCGUGGUCUAGUGGUUACGACGUUGCUUUGACGUGGCAAAGAUCCCAGGUUCGAUCCCUGGCGGGCCCA
RNAcentral lists this transfer RNA (73 nucleotides) under Candidatus Pacearchaeota archaeon. RNAcentral's name for it is "tRNA-Val". It matches the Rfam family "tRNA". From Rfam's summary of the family: Transfer RNA (tRNA) molecules are approximately 80 nucleotides in length. Their secondary structure includes four short double-helical elements and three loops (D, anti-codon, and T loops). Further hydrogen bonds mediate the characteristic L-shaped molecular structure. tRNAs have two regions of fundamental functional importance: the anti-codon, which is responsible for specific mRNA codon recognition, and the 3' end, to which the tRNAs corresponding amino acid is attached (by aminoacyl-tRNA synthetases). tRNAs cope with the degeneracy of the genetic code in two manners: having more than one tRNA (with a specific anti-codon) for a particular amino acid; and 'wobble' base-pairing, i.e. permitting non-standard base-pairing at the 3rd anti-codon position. The record is from RNAcentral. Lineage: Archaea; Nanobdellati.